CAGUCGAACGGCAGCACGGGUGCUUGCACCUGGUGGCGAGUGGCGAACGGGUGAGUAAUACAUCGGAACAUGUCCUGUAGUGGGGGAUAGCCCGGCGAAAGCCGGAUUAAUACCGCAUACGAUCUAUGGAUGAAAGCGGGGGACCUUCGGGCCUCGCGCUAUAGGGUUGGCCGAUGGCUGAUUAGCUAGUUGGUGGGGUAAAGGCCUACCAAGGCGACGAUCAGUAGCUGGUCUGAGAGGACGACCAGCCACACUGGGACUGAGACACGGCCCAGACUCCUACGGGAGGCAGCAGUGGGGAAUUUUGGACAAUGGGCGAAAGCCUGAUCCAGCAAUGCCGCGUGUGUGAAGAAGGCCUUCGGGUUGUAAAGCACUUUUGUCCGGAAAGAAAUCCUUGGCUCUAAUACAGUCGGGGGAUGACGGUACCGGAAGAAUAAGCACCGGCUAACUACGUGCCAGCAGCCGCGGUAAUACGUAGGGUGCAAGCGUUAAUCGGAAUUACUGGGCGUAAAGCGUGCGCAGGCGGUUUGCUAAGACCGAUGUGAAAUCCCCGGGCUCAACCUGGGAACUGCAUUGGUGACUGGCAGGCUAGAGUAUGGCAGAGGGGGGUAGAAUUCCACGUGUAGCAGUGAAAUGCGUAGAGAUGUGGAGGAAUACCGAUGGCGAAGGCAGCCCCCUGGGCCAAUACUGACGCUCAUGCA
This 701-nucleotide ribosomal RNA is filed under the name Burkholderia sp. RNAcentral's name for it is "bacterial SSU rRNA". It matches the Rfam family "Bacterial small subunit ribosomal RNA", at positions 59 to 753 of the family's 1533-position model. The record is from RNAcentral. Lineage: Bacteria; Pseudomonadati; Pseudomonadota; Betaproteobacteria; Burkholderiales; Burkholderiaceae.